UCGCUUUGGGAGGAGCUCGCUUACUAUCAGCUUGUUGGUAGGGUAAUGGCCUACCAAGGCUAUGACGGUUAGGGGGUGUGAGAGCAUGACCCCCAGCAUUGGCACUGAAACACUGGCCAAACACCUACGGGUGGCUGCAGUCGAGAAUCUUCCACAAUGGGGGAAACCCUGAUGGAGCGAUGCUGCGUGCGGGAUGAAGGCCUUCGGGUUGUAAACCGCUUUUGUAGGGGACGAAAUUUUUGACGGUACCCUUUCGAAUAAGAGGUUGCUAACUCUGUGCCAGCAGCAGCGGUAAUACAGAGACCUCAAGCGUUAUCCGGAUUUACUGGGCGUAAAGCGUCUGUAGGGGGUUUAUUAAGUUCCAAGUAAAAUUUCAAGGCUCAACUUUGAAUUCGCUUGGAAAACUAAUAAACUGGAGUCUAGCAGAGGUGCAUGGAACUUGUGGUGUAGGAGUGAAAUCCGUUGAUAUCACAAGGAACACCAAAGGCGAAGGCAUUGCACUGGGCUAGCACUGACCCUGAGAGACGAAAGCGUGGGGAGCAAAACGGAUUAGAUACCCGUGUAGUCCACGCCCUAAACGAUGAAUGCUAAUGUUCGGGGAUUCGACCCCCUGGGUGUUACAGCUAACGCGUUAAGCAUUCCGCCUGGGAAGUACGGCCGCAAGGCUAAAACUCAAAGGAAUAGACGGGGAUCCGCACAAGCGGUGGAGCGUCUGGUUUAAUUCGACAGUAAGCGUGGUACCUCACCAGGGUUUGACAUCCCUUGACAGCCUUGGAAACAAGGUUUCCUUCGGGCAAGGUGACAGGUGCUGCAUGGUCGUCGUCAGUUCGUGCCGUGAGGUGUUCCGUUAAGUCGGGAAACGAACGAAACCCCUAUUGCAUGUUACAAUUUCUCAUGCAAGACUGCCCGGAUAUACUGGGAGGAAGGUGGGGAUGACGUCAGAUCUGCAUGGUCCUUAUACCCUGGGCGACACAGGCGCUACAAUGGCAGAGACAAAGGGUUGCAAAACCGCAAGGUGAAGCUAAUCCCAAAAACUUUGUCUAAGUUCGGAUUGAAGGCUGCAAUUCGCCUUCAUGAAGCUGGAAUCGCUAGUAAUCGUGAAUCAGCCACGUCACGGUGAAUAUGUUCCCGGAUCUUGUACUCACCGCCCGUCACACCAAGAGAGUUGGUAGCUCCCGAAGCGUCCCGUUUUAGCGGGGC
This 1200-nucleotide ribosomal RNA is filed under the name uncultured organism. RNAcentral describes it as "bacterial SSU rRNA". It matches the Rfam family "Bacterial small subunit ribosomal RNA", at positions 215 to 1455 of the family's 1533-position model. The record is from RNAcentral.